Long non-coding RNA from Corvus hawaiiensis (hawaiian crow), 2808 nucleotides. RefSeq lists it as uncharacterized. The transcript is spliced from 2 exons. The record is from RefSeq and is a predicted model, not a curated record. NCBI's taxonomy places the organism in Eukaryota, Metazoa, Chordata, Aves, Passeriformes, Corvidae.
GGGAAGGAGGGGAAAAAAAGGUAAUUACAGGAAUUCAAAAUAUUUCAGGGAAUGUUUGGACCUUUAAAUGACUGGAAACAACCACAGGCCGAUCCUCAGGUACCCCCACGUCCAGCACGUCACCAGAAGACGAGCUCUGGUACCAGUAUCUCCCCACGCCGGAGCUUCUUCGGCUGCAGAGCUGCCAGUGGUGCGGGACCCAACCGGGCACCGGAACCGCGGGACCGAACCGGGAACUGGCGCCGCCAGCACCGGGACUGCCGCCCAGGCAGCGGCCCGGCUGGCACUGAUUUCCACACCCUGGUGGGCUUCCAUCAGCUCGACCAGCUGAACUCAAAGAAACCAAAAUGGUGGAGGAACAGCGUGUAUGGGAAAAGAUUUUCACAAAUUAGGACUCACCGAUGUGAGGAAAAUGACCUGGCAAGUGCUGCAGCAUGGAUUAAUUGAUGAAGUAUAACAGAAGUACCUUAGAUAUACCCUAUCGCAGGUCCUGGCUGAGCACUCUCCACCUGAAUUGUCUUGGUUUAUUGAACUCACUAGCCAGGAAAGGAAAGGCAGCUACACUCUGGACAGCAUUCACACCACAAGCUGUUCUGGAUUCAGCUGCCAGCAGCUCUCUCUGCCAUUUUCCAUAUUGUGGACCAAUCCAUGGGUCUCCCUCUACGUGUACUUUAUGGCACUCCAACACUUGCAAUCCAGGCACGGGGCCCUAACGAGUUCCCAUUUAUUAGCCAAACUCAGGGAGCUGCCUGCAGGCUCCUUGUCUUUUCCAUUUCUUAGGUGAAGAGCUGAAAUCACCAUCAUUUCAUCCACUUGUGCAGGUUGACACUAAAGUGGCUGUUUUGGAGAAAACCUCUCAUUGUGCCGAGCCGGAUAAAUCCCUUGACUGAUUUUAAAUCAACUUACAUAAUUCAUACCAGGGUUUUAUUCUAACAGAAAUACAAAAAGAUAUUCAGAGUAGAUUAUAUAAGUUAUGGACAAUCAAGUCUUUAUUUUGCUUCUAAAUUUGUCACAGUGACAGAAUCCCCACAGUGCUGUGUCAGAACUCGUGCCACCAUAUAAAAAGAUCAGACUGACACAGCUUUCAAGAUUAAUUUUACUUACACUUGCAACCCUACUUAAAAAAAAAAAAAAAGUUCUGUAUUUGUUUUAAUUAUACAUUGCUCAUUUUAUCGAAGAAAAAUUAAUGGAUCUACCAAGAAAAUUGUAAUGCAGUAGCAAAGACUUAAUUUUUAAUUUUAAUUUUUUUUAAUGUAGUAGAAAAUGCAGCCGGGUCUUUGGAUAACUUCUCUGUCUGUUUAAAAUACUUAUUGUUAUUAAGCUUGGAGUGGGGAAGCAGCAGAAGCUUAGAAUUAUUUGAAAUAUUUUCCACAGCUUUUUUUAAAAGUUAUCAUGCCUGGUUUCUAUGGGGAAAAUUGUUGUGGAAAAUAUAUACAGCAAGAUUUCAACAGAGCAAUCUAAGCAGCAAAGAACUCUAUAUGGAGAAGGACGACAAAAUCCCAGACCUCAGAGCUCAUCUCUAUAAAAGGUGUAGAAAGCCACAGGCCUUGAACAGGGAUUUACAAACCUUCUGAUCUUUGAGGGACAACGGCGCCAUGGUGGAGUCAGAGGCACCAAAUGCAAUGCUACCAUUUGCCUUGGUACCUCUUGAUCUUUGAAAAAGUUAGAUCCUGCACACAAUACAAAUUUUCAGAUCUCCAGGUUUAUUUGUUCUGUUUGAGAAAGGUUGUUUUAUUAAAAAAACCAAACCAAACAAACCGACCUGGGCAACCGAACAUGUGUGGUUUGCAUUACACUCUUUUGUUUCCUUCCACAAAAUCUGAGAGCUAUUCCUUUAAUAUUAGAGGGCUUUUCAAGGCUGUCAAGAAUAAUGCAAGAUUUCCACAUCCUCUGAGUGUAGAGGAGUUGCAUCAUAAAUAUCACAAAGUAAACCUUUUGUACUAUAAUUUAAAUUCUACCAAACCCAUAGACCCACUUGUAUUAUCCUUAACAAUGAUACUGUGGAUUUUGCAUGUGUGUCUGUGUGUGAGGAACUGGGAAAAGGGGGAUUCUUUUUGUUUUUAAAGAAUCACAGAAUCAUUAAGGCUGGAAAAGACCUUCGAGGUCAUGAAGUCCAUCCUGUGACCAGUCCCCCACCUUGUCACCCAGCCCAGAGCACUGAGUGCCACAUCCAGUUGUUCCGUGGACACCUGCAGGGGUGGGGACUCCCUCCUCUGUGCUAUAUUGAAUUUGAGUGCUCUAGGCUGACACUGGACAGUUCAAGCCAUUCUUUUGCGUUGCACAGAAAAUCUUCAUUAUUUCUAACCCAGCAAACCCACCAGUCAGAUUUUAAACCCUCUGCAACCAAAACAGAACUAAUGUAGGAUCAGGUUCAUUUUCUCCCAUUAAACUCAACAAGGCACCUACAUUGUUUAGUCCCAUUUACAAAUGUUGGCUUUUAGAGAUGUAAUAGUCAGAAAUAAAAAUUUUAGGUGUUUAAUUUCAGACUGAAUGCCUGAAAGGGGCACUAGAUACUAAACACAGAACUCACCUCACCCAGGAUUAAAUGGCAGAUACUUGAUUGCUUGUGUCUCUGCCUGUUACUAGGCUCCCUAUAGAGCAUUUGGAGAGAAAAAUACAUUUUCAGAUGAUUAUUCUUCUCAUCCUAAACCCGGUAUAGAAGAUAGUGGGAACUACUUCCCCACUGGAUAUGACAAUGUCACCCCGUAGAGAAUGACAGUGUCUACAUGGUUAAAGUUUUGAAAACUUUACUUGUAUCUUUUUCUUUUCUUCUUCUUUGAUGUAUGGAAAUAAAUUUUCAGCCUGAUA